Molecule: ribosomal RNA, 1743 nt
Filed under: Vibrio diazotrophicus
Lineage: Bacteria; Pseudomonadati; Pseudomonadota; Gammaproteobacteria; Vibrionales; Vibrionaceae
Description: bacterial LSU rRNA
Rfam family: Bacterial large subunit ribosomal RNA
Source: RNAcentral
AUUGGGUAGGGGAGCGUUCUGUAAGCCGUUGAAGGUGUGUUGUAAAGCAUGCUGGAGGUAUCAGAAGUGCGAAUGCUGACAUGAGUAACGAUAAAGGGGGUGAAAAACCUCCUCGCCGGAAGACCAAGGGUUCCUGUCCAACGUUAAUCGGGGCAGGGUGAGUCGACCCCUAAGGCGAGGCCGAAAGGCGUAGUCGAUGGGAAACGGGUUAAUAUUCCCGUACUUCUUACAAUUGCGAUGGGGGGACGGAGAAGGCUAGGUGGGCCUGGCGACGGUUGUCCAGGUUCAAGUGCGUAGGCUUGAGAGUUAGGUAAAUCCGGCUCUCUUUAAGGCUGAGACACGAUGUCGAGCUACUACGGUAGUGAAGUCAUUGAUGCCAUGCUUCCAGGAAAAGCCUCUAAGCUUCAGAUUGUAAGGAAUCGUACCCCAAACCGACACAGGUGGUCGGGUAGAGAAUACCAAGGCGCUUGAGAGAACUCGGGUGAAGGAACUAGGCAAAAUGGUACCGUAACUUCGGGAGAAGGUACGCUCUUGACGGUGAAGUCCCUCGCGGAUGGAGCUGAUGAGAGUCGCAGAUACCAGGUGGCUGCAACUGUUUAUUAAAAACACAGCACUGUGCAAAAUCGUAAGAUGACGUAUACGGUGUGACGCCUGCCCGGUGCCGGAAGGUUAAUUGAUGGGGUUAGACUUCGGUCGAAGCUCUUGAUCGAAGCCCCGGUAAACGGCGGCCGUAACUAUAACGGUCCUAAGGUAGCGAAAUUCCUUGUCGGGUAAGUUCCGACCUGCACGAAUGGCGUAAUGAUGGCCACGCUGUCUCCACCCGAGACUCAGUGAAAUUGAAAUCGCUGUGAAGAUGCAGUGUACCCGCGGCUAGACGGAAAGACCCCGUGAACCUUUACUACAGCUUGGCACUGAACAUUGAACCUACAUGUGUAGGAUAGGUGGGAGGCUUUGAAGCGCAGACGCUAGUUUGUGUGGAGCCGUCCUUGAAAUACCACCCUUGUAUGUUUGAUGUUCUAACUCAGACCCGUCAUCCGGGUCGAGGACAGUGCCUGGUGGGUAGUUUGACUGGGGCGGUCUCCUCCCAAAGAGUAACGGAGGAGCACGAAGGUGGGCUAAACACGGUUGGACAUCGUGUGGUUAGUGCAAUGGCAUAAGCCCGCUUGACUGCGAGAAUGACAAUUCGAGCAGGUGCGAAAGCAGGUCAUAGUGAUCCGGUGGUUCUGAAUGGAAGGGCCAUCGCUCAACGGAUAAAAGGUACUCCGGGGAUAACAGGCUGAUACCGCCCAAGAGUUCAUAUCGACGGCGGUGUUUGGCACCUCGAUGUCGGCUCAUCACAUCCUGGGGCUGAAGUCGGUCCCAAGGGUAUGGCUGUUCGCCAUUUAAAGUGGUACGCGAGCUGGGUUUAGAACGUCGUGAGACAGUUCGGUCCCUAUCUGCCGUGGGCGUUGGAGAAUUGAAGGGGGCUGCUCCUAGUACGAGAGGACCGGAGUGGACGAACCUCUGGUGUUCGGGUUGUUACGCCAGUAGCAUUGCCCGGUAGCUAAGUUCGGAAUUGAUAACCGCUGAAAGCAUCUAAGCGGGAAGCAAGCCCUGAGAUGAGUUCUCCCUGGCACUUUAAGUGUCCUAAAGGGUUGUUCGAGACUAGAACGUUGAUAGGCAGGGUGUGUAAGUGCUGUGAGGCAUUGAGCUAACCUGUACUAAUUGCCCGUGAGGCUUAACCAUACAACACCCAAGGGGUUU